This 1249-nucleotide ribosomal RNA is filed under the name Snellenius radicalis. Its description in RNAcentral is "16S ribosomal RNA". Lineage: Eukaryota; Metazoa; Arthropoda; Insecta; Hymenoptera; Braconidae. The record is from RNAcentral.
AACAAAAUAAUUUUCUUUAAAUAAUUUUUUUUAUUAAUUUAUAAAUUAAUUUAAAAAUUUAUAGUUUUAAAUAAAUUUUUUUGAUUUUUAAAAAUUAAUUUCAUUAAUUAAUUAUAUAAAAGAAAAAUUUUUUUUUUAUACCUUUUGUAUCAGGAUUAAUUAAAAAAAUUAAUUAAAUUUUAAUAUCUCGAAUUUAAAAAAUUUAAAUAAUUAAUUUUAUUAAUAUAAAAAUAUUAAAUAUUAUAAUUAUUUAGAAACAAAAAAUUAAUCAAUUUUAAAAUUAUCUAGUUAUUUAUUAAAUAAAUUUAAUUUAAAUAUAAUUUUUAAACAACAAAAUUUAUGUAAAUUAAUUAAUUAUAUUAAUAAUUUUAGGAAUAAACUUGAAAUUAUUUUUAAAAAUUUUUUAUAAUUUUUAUAAUAAUAUAAAAUUAAAAUUUUUUUUAUUAAUAUAAAUUUAAUAAUUUAAUUAAAAAUAAUUAAUUAUUUAAAAAAAUUUUAAAAAAUUAAUAAAUUAAUUAAUUAAAUAAAAAUUUUAAUAUAAUAAUGAUUAAAUUAGUAAUAAUUAAUAUUAAAUUAAUAUAAUUUAUAAUUUUAAAUUAAAUUUAAUAAACUUGGCAAAAUUUAUAUUCACCUGUUUAACAAAAACAUGUCUUAUUGAUCAUAAUUUUAAGUCAAAUUUGCUCAAUGAUAAAUUAAAUAGCUGCAGUAUUAAUAACUGUACAAAGGUAGCAUAAUAAUUAGUUUUUUAAUUAAAAACUAGAAUGAAAGAUUUAAUGAAAUAUAAACUGUCUCAAAUUUAAAAAAUAAAUUUUUUUUUUAAAUUAAAAAACUUAAAUUUUAUUUAAAGACGAGAAGACCCUAAAGAAUUUUUAUUAUAAUUUUUUAAAUUUAUAACUAUGAAUAAUUAUAAUUUUAAUUGGGGAAAUUUUAAAAUUUAAAAAAUUUUUAAUUUUAUAAACAAUUAUUUUUGAAUAAAAAAUUUUUUUUUAAAAAAAUAAAUUAAAUUACCUUAGGGAUAACAGCAUAAUUUUUUUAAAAAGUUCAAAUUUAUAAAAAAGUUUAUGACCUCGAUGUUGAAUUAAGAUAAAAUUUUUUGUAAAAAAAAUAUUUUUUAAGUCUGUUCGACUUUUAAAAUCUUACAUGAUUUGAGUUAAGAUCGGUGUAAGCCAGAUCGGAUUCUAUCUUAAAUUAUAUUUUAUAUUUUUGUACGAAAGGAAUUUUAAUAAAAAAUAAUUUUAAUUUAAAAUAA